AGACUUUGAUCCAUGGCUCAGAACGAACGCUGGCGGCAGGCCUAACACAUGCAAGUCGAACGCGUGCCUUCGGGCACGAGUGGCGGACGGGUGAGUAACGCGUGGGAAUUUGCCUUGGGGUACGGAAUAACCGCGGGAAACUGCGGCUAAUACCGUAUACGUCCUUCGGGAGAAAGAUUUAUCGCCCCAAGAUGAGCCCGCGUCCGAUUAGGUACGUUGGUGAGGUAACGGCUCACCAAGCCUUCGAUCGGUAGGCUGGUCUGAGAGGAUGAUCAGCCACACUGGGACUGAGACACGGCCCAGACUCCUACGGGAGGCAGCAGUGGCGGAAUAUUGGACAAUGGGGGAAACCCUGAUCCAGCCAUGCCGCGUGAGCUGGAGAAGGCCUUACGGUUGUAAAGCUCUUUCGGUGCGUGACGAUGAUGACCCGUAGCCCACAGAAGAAGCCCCGGC
RNAcentral lists this ribosomal RNA (453 nucleotides) under uncultured bacterium. RNAcentral's name for it is "bacterial SSU rRNA". It matches the Rfam family "Bacterial small subunit ribosomal RNA", at positions 8 to 497 of the family's 1533-position model. The record is from RNAcentral.